Poecilia latipinna (sailfin molly) is the source of this 213-nucleotide long non-coding RNA. RefSeq lists it as uncharacterized. The record is from RefSeq and is a predicted model, not a curated record. NCBI's taxonomy places the organism in Eukaryota, Metazoa, Chordata, Actinopteri, Cyprinodontiformes, Poeciliidae. The transcript is spliced from 3 exons.
CAAAUUGAUUUAAGGUUAGCAUGCUAAUAUAUUGAUUCAACAUUAGGAUGCUAACCCGUUGAUUAAUGUUAGCAUGUUAACCUGUUGAUUUAAGGCUGGCAUGCUAACACGUUGAUUUAACGUCAGCAUUGCUAACCCAUUGAUUUAAUGUUAACAUGCUAACACAUUGAUUUAACGUUAGCGUGCUAAAACAUUGAUUUAACUGUUAGCAUG